RNAcentral lists this ribosomal RNA (461 nucleotides) under uncultured bacterium. RNAcentral's name for it is "bacterial SSU rRNA". It matches the Rfam family "Bacterial small subunit ribosomal RNA", at positions 408 to 880 of the family's 1533-position model. The record is from RNAcentral.
AUGACGGCCUUCGGGUUGUAAAACUCUGUCUUUGGGGACGAUAAUGACGGUACCCAAGGAGGAAGCCACGGCUAACUACGUGCCAGCAGCCGCUGGUAAUACGUAGGUGGCAAGCGUUGUCCCGGAUUUACUGGGCGUAAAGGGAGCGUAGGUGGAUAUUUAAGUGGGAUGUGAAAUACUCGGGCUUAACCUGGGUGCUGCAUUCCAAACUGGAUAUCUAGAGUGCAGGAGAGGAAAGGAGAAUUCCUAGUGUAGCGGUGAAAUGCCGUAGAGAUUAGGAAGAAUACCAGUGGCGAAGGCGCCUUUCUGGACUGUAACUGACACUGAGGCUCGAAAGCGGUGGGGAGCAAACAGGAUUAGAUACCCUGGUAAGUCCACGCCGUAAACCGAUGAAUACUAGGUGUAGGGGUUGUCAUGACCUNUGUGCCGCCGNUAACGCAUUAAGUAUUCCGCCUGGGGAG